AAACGUAUAGAUUUUUUUUUUUUGAAAACACAUUUGAGAACAUCCCAUAAACAUACACAGACCCACCACAUGGACAAAGAAUUUUCUGUAUAACGGACAAAGUCUCCUUUGUACAUGCACGAUAUAGUACCAUAGUACAAAGUCAAGCACACACACAACCACACAACACAAACAUUCUAAAAAUUAUUAAAUAACAAUAAUCCCAGAAUAAUAAUUAUCUACAUCUAUUCACUGAUAUAAAAACAUUAACAGGUAAAUGAAUUAAACUAAUCCAACAGGCAGGAAAAGCUAAACCAAAUAUUAGAUAUAAGGGUCUAUGAGGACCAAUCAAGAACUCAACUACUUAGUAUCAUUCUAACGCACUGUCCCAAUCUUCACCUCCCGCGUCACCUGAAAAGUGGUUGGGUGAGAACAUCUAAACAUGUUUUCCCUCACAGUGUGUAUCGAAAGCCGACGAAGGCAAGUUGUACUCAUCCUUUAAAAGAUAUUUACACUGUUUGAAAAAUAUUUACACAGUUUCUUCUUUUGUUGCAUUGUUUUUUCUUUUGUUACACUAUUUCUUCUCUUUAUUGCACUCUUUAAGAGGAGAAACAGUACAACAAAAGUAGAAACAGUGCAACGAGAGGAGAAACAGGGUAAAUAUCUCUUAAAGUGUGCAACUUGUAUCUAAAAGAAUGCAACAAGAGAAAAAAUAAUGUAAAUAUCUCUCAAAAAGUACAAAUUUUGUUUAAAAAGUAUAAAUUUCAUCUUAAAGGAUGCAGUUUACAUAUCAAAGAAAUGCAAUAGGAGAAAUAGUGUAAAUAUCUUCCAAAUAGUGCAAUUUUUAUUUAAGAAGUAUAACUUUCAUCUUAAAGUGUGCAGUUUACAUCUCAAAUAGUGAAACUUACGUUCAUAAUAGUGCAACGUUCUUUUAAAACAGUGUAAUUUUAUUUUAACAAUACAAUUUCAUCUUCGUCUUUCUUCUUUCAUAAUUUUUUGUCUUUAUUUUUUCUUCUUCCUUCUUCUAUAAUUUUUUUUUGGGUCAUGCCUCUCUACCAACGGACACUACGCCGGCGACGACGUCGCUAAGGACCCCCCGCUCUGAGGCUGCGGCCCCACAAUGACCUCUGCGGUGUUAGCAUUGGCGAAAAGGCGUUGUCAUCGGAGGCGACGGAGGAGGAAGGAGAGGGAGAGGGAGAGGGCGAGAAGAGCAGGAAAGAGCGAGAGAGGACAAGAGAGGCGUCAUCGUCAAAGAUAGGGGAGGAGGGUUGGAGAGGAAAAAAAAAAAAAAGAGUUGCGGCGCGGCCUCAGAGAGGUUGGAGGUGAGGAACGUCAGGGAUGAGCGCGGACAAGGGUGAGCGCGAGGGCGAGGGCGAGGGCGAGGGCGAGGGCGAAGGCGAGGGGAUGAGGGUGAGAGGCGACGCAGGCCGUUUCUACCUUUGCCUCUGCCGUCGCUGCCUUAUUUGGCGAGAGAAAAAAAAGAUGUACGGGAGAAAAAAAAAAAAAAAGGAGAAAGAAAAAGUAAUAAGAAUAUUUUAGUCAGUUUGCUAAAAAUUCGGACCGAAUCUGCAAAAUCAUNCUUCUAUAUUUUUUUUUGUCACCCGUCUCUGCCAGCGCCGACGACAACGCCGCUAAGAACCCCUGCUCUGAGGCUGCAGCGCCGCAGCAACGUCCAGGAGCGUUGGCGAAGAUGCGUCGUCUUCGAAUACGGCAGAGGAGGAAGGAGAGGGAGAGGGCGAGAAGGGCGAGAGAGGCGUCGUCAUCGGAGAUGGUGAAGGAGAAUCGGAGAUGAAAAAAAAAAGAGUUGCGGCGCGGCCUCAGAGAGGUUGGAGGUGAGGAACGUCAGGGAUGAGCGCGGACAAGGGUGAGCGCGAGGGCGAGGGCGAGGGCGAGGGCGAGGGCGAAGGC
Molecule: long non-coding RNA, 1887 nt
Filed under: Ananas comosus (pineapple)
Lineage: Eukaryota; Viridiplantae; Streptophyta; Magnoliopsida; Poales; Bromeliaceae
Description: long non-coding RNA (ACOM_LNC013357)
Source: RNAcentral